ACAGCGGAGGGAUCAUUACCGAGUUUACAACUCCCAAACCCCUGUGAACAUACCUAUACGUUGCCUCGGCGGAUCAGCCCGCGCCCCGUAAAAAGGGACGGCCCGCCCGAGGACCCCUAAACUCUGUUUUUAGUGGAACUUCUGAGUAAAACAAACAAAUAAAUCAAAACUUUCAACAACGGAUCUCUUGGUUCUGGCAUCGAUGAAGAACGCAGCAAAAUGCGAUAAGUAAUGUGAAUUGCAGAAUUCAGUGAAUCAUCGAAUCUUUGAACGCACAUUGCGCCCGCCAGUAUUCUGGCGGGCAUGCCUGUUCGAGCGUCAUUUCAACCCUCAAGCUCAGCUUGGUGUUGGGACUCGCGGUAACCCGCGUUCCCCAAAUCGAUUGGCGGUCACGUCGAGCUUCCAUAGCGUAGUAAUCAUACACCUCGUUACUGGUAAUCGUCGCGGCCACGCCGUAAAACCCCAACUUCUGAAUGUUGACCUCGGAUCAGGUAGGAAUACCCGCUGAACUUAAGCAUAUCAAUA
This 525-nucleotide ribosomal RNA is filed under the name Fusarium equiseti. RNAcentral's name for it is "eukaryotic LSU rRNA". The stretch from base 168 to 321 matches the Rfam family "5.8S ribosomal RNA". Lineage: Eukaryota; Fungi; Ascomycota; Sordariomycetes; Hypocreales; Nectriaceae. The record is from RNAcentral.